UACGGAGGGUGCAAGCGUUAUCCGGAAUCACUGGGCGUAAAGGGCGCGUAGGCGGGCAGCUAAGUCAGUGGUGAAAUCUCCGGGCUUAACCCGGAAACUGCCAUUGAUACUAUCUGUCUUGAAUAUCGUGGAGGUAAGCGGAAUAUGUCAUGUAGCGGUGAAAUGCGUAGAUAUGACAUAGAACACCAAUGGCGAAGGCAGCUUACUGGCCGAAUAUUGACACUGAGGCACGAAAGCGUGGGGAGCAAACAGG
Molecule: ribosomal RNA, 253 nt
Filed under: uncultured bacterium
Lineage: Bacteria
Description: partial 16S ribosomal RNA
Rfam family: Bacterial small subunit ribosomal RNA
Source: RNAcentral